This 997-nucleotide ribosomal RNA is filed under the name uncultured bacterium. Its description in RNAcentral is "bacterial SSU rRNA". It matches the Rfam family "Bacterial small subunit ribosomal RNA", at positions 509 to 1504 of the family's 1533-position model. The record is from RNAcentral.
CAGCAGCCGCGGUAAUACGUAGGGGGCAAGCGUUGUCCGGAUUCAUUGGGCGUAAAGAGCUCGUAGGCGGCUCAACAAGUCGGUCGUGAAAGCCCGGGGCUCAACCCCGGGACGCCGAUCGAAACUGUUGUGGCUAGGGUUCGUAGAGGAGAGUGGAAUUCCCGGUGUAGCGGUGAAAUGCGCAGAUAUCGGGAGGAACACCAAUAGCGAAGGCAGCUCUCUGGGCCGAUACCGACGCUGAGGAGCGAAAGCUAGGGGAGCAAACAGGAUUAGAUACCCUGGUAGUCCUAGCCGUAAACGUUGGGCACUAGGUGUGCGGACUCAUUGGACGUCUGCGCGCGUAGCUAACGCAUUAAGUGCCCCGCCUGGGGAGUACCGUCGCAAGGCUAAAACUCAAAGGAAUUGACGGGGGCCCGCACAAGCGGCGGAGCAUGCGGCUUAAUUCGAUGCAACUCGAAGAACCUUACCUAGGCUUGACAUCACGGGAAAAGCUGUGGAACACCAGUGUGCGUAAGCGGUCCGUGACAGGUGGUGCAUGGCCGUCGUCAGCUCGUGUCGUGAGAUGUUGGGUUAAGUCCCGCAACGAGCGCAACCCUUAUCUUAUGUUGCCAGCGGGUUAUGCCGGGGACUCAUGGGAGACUGCCGGGGACAACUCGGAGGAAGGCGGGGACGACGUCAGGUCAUCAUGCCCCUUACGCCUAGGGCUGCACGCAUGCUACAAUGGCAGGUACAAAGGGCUGCGAUCCCGCGAGGGUGAGCCAAUCCCAGAAAGCCUGUCUCAGUUCGGAUUGGAGUCUGCAACUCGACUCCAUGAAGCCGGAGUCGCUAGUAAUCGUGGAUCAGCAAUGCCACGGUGAAUACGUUCUCGGGCCUUGUACACACCGCCCGUCACAUCACGGAAGUCGGCAACACCCGAAGUCAGUGGCCUAACCCUAUGGGAGGGAGCUGCCGAAGGUGGGGUCGGCGACUGGGAUGAAGUCGUAACAAGGUAACCGUA